AGAGUUUGAUCCUGGCUCAGAAUCAACGCUGGCGGCGUGCCUCAGACAUGCAAGUCGAACGAUUAAAGCCCCUUCGGGGGUGUAUAAAGUGGCGCACGGGUGAGUAACACGUAGGUAAUCUACCUUUGAGUGGGGAAUAACAAUCGGAAACGAUUGCUAAUACCGCAUAAUGCAGCGGCAUCGCAAGAUGACAGUUGUUAAAGGAGCAAUCCGCUUAAAGAGGAGCCUGCGGCAGAUUAGCUAGUUGGUAAGGUAAUGGCUUACCAAGGCUACGAUCUGUAACCGACCUGAGAGGGUGGUCGGUCACACUGACACUGAAUAACGGGUCAGACUCCUACGGGAGGCAGCAGUCGGGAAUUUUGGGCAAUGGGCGAAAGCCUGACCCAGCAACGCCGCGUGAAGGACGAAGUCUUUCGGGAUGUAAACUUCGUAAGAAUAGGAAGAAUAAAUGACGGUACUAUUUGUAAGGUCCGGCUAACUACGUGCCAGCAGCCGCGGUAAUACGUAGGGACCAAGCGUUGUUCGGAUUUACUGGGCGUAAAGGGCGCGUAGGCGGCAAUUCAAGUCAGUUGUGAAAUCUCCGAGCUUAACUCGGAACGGUCAACUGAUACUGCUUUGCUAGAGUACAGAAGGGGCAAUCGGAAUUCUUGGUGUAGCGGUGAAAUGCGUAGAUAUCAAGAGGAACACCUGAGGUGAAGACGGGUUGCUGGGCUGAUACUGACGCUGAGGCGCGAAGGCUAGGGUAGCAAACGGGAUUAGAUACCCCCGUAGUCC
This 774-nucleotide ribosomal RNA is filed under the name uncultured Acidobacteriota bacterium. RNAcentral describes it as "bacterial SSU rRNA". It matches the Rfam family "Bacterial small subunit ribosomal RNA", at positions 8 to 796 of the family's 1533-position model. Lineage: Bacteria; Pseudomonadati; Acidobacteriota. The record is from RNAcentral.